RNAcentral lists this ribosomal RNA (230 nucleotides) under uncultured bacterium. Its description in RNAcentral is "partial 16S ribosomal RNA". It matches the Rfam family "Bacterial small subunit ribosomal RNA", at positions 356 to 577 of the family's 1533-position model. The record is from RNAcentral.
AGGGAAUCUUCGGCAAUGGGGGCAACCCUGACCGAGCAACGCCGCGUGAGUGAAGAAGGUUUUCGGAUCGUAAAGCUCUGUUGUAAGUCAAGAACGGGUGUGAGAGUGGAAAGUUCACACUGUGACGGUAGCUUACCAGAAAGGGACGGCUAACUACGUGCCAGCAGCCGCGGUAAUACGUAGGUCCCGAGCGUUGUCCGGAUUUAUUGGGCGUAAAGCGAGCGCAGGCG